This 674-nucleotide ribosomal RNA is filed under the name uncultured bacterium. RNAcentral describes it as "bacterial SSU rRNA". It matches the Rfam family "Bacterial small subunit ribosomal RNA", at positions 94 to 765 of the family's 1533-position model. The record is from RNAcentral.
AGUGGCGGACGGGUGAGUAACGCGUAGGAAUCUGCCUGUUAGUGGGGGACAACGUGGGGAAACCCACGCUAAUACCGCAUACGCCCUACGGGGGAAAGGAGGGGAUCUUCGGACCUUUCGCUAACAGAUGAGCCUGCGUUAGAUUAGCUAGUUGGUAGGGUAAAGGCCUACCAAGGCGACGAUCUAUAGCUGGUCUGAGAGGACGAUCAGCCACACUGGGACUGAGACACGGCCCAGACUCCUACGGGAGGCAGCAGUGGGGAAUAUUGGACAAUGGGCGAAAGCCUGAUCCAGCAAUACCGCGUGUGUGAAGAAGGCCUUAGGGUUGUAAAGCACUUUCAAUUGGGAGGAAAACCUACCGGUCAAUACCCGGUAGCUUGACAUUACCUUUAGAAGAAGCACCGGCUAACUCCGUGCCAGCAGCCGCGGUAAUACGGAGGGUGCGAGCGUUAAUCGGAAUUACUGGGCGUAAAGCGUGCGUAGGCGGUUCGUUAAGUCAGAUGUGAAAGCCCUGGGCUCAACCUGGGAACUGCAUUUGAAACUGGCGGACUAGAGUUUAGUAGAGGGGAGUGGAAUUUCAGGUGUAGCGGUGAAAUGCGUAGAUAUCUGAAGGAACACCAGUGGCGAAGGCGACUCCCUGGACUAGAACUGACGCUGAGGUACGAAAGCGUGGG